GCCUGGGUGGCUCAGUCGGUUAAGCGUCUGACUUCGGCUCAGGUCAUGAUCUCGCGGUCCGUGGGUUCGAGUCCCGUGUCGGGCU
Felis catus (domestic cat) is the source of this 85-nucleotide transfer RNA. It matches the Rfam family "tRNA". Rfam says of the family: Transfer RNA (tRNA) molecules are approximately 80 nucleotides in length. Their secondary structure includes four short double-helical elements and three loops (D, anti-codon, and T loops). NCBI's taxonomy places the organism in Eukaryota, Metazoa, Chordata, Mammalia, Carnivora, Felidae. The record is from Rfam.